This 66-nucleotide transfer RNA is filed under the name Sahlbergotettix salicicola. RNAcentral's name for it is "tRNA-Val". Lineage: Eukaryota; Metazoa; Arthropoda; Insecta; Hemiptera; Cicadellidae. The record is from RNAcentral.
CAGAUUGUAGCUUAUAAUUAAAGCUUAUUUUUUACAUUAAUAUGAAAGUAUAUAUAUUCUAUCUGA